GCGUUGUUCCACAAAACAAAGGUGGCGCCACUGGUAAGAAGAGAUCUCUCAGGCGUCCAGAGUUCUGACUUGAGCAGUGGUCUUGUGCAGCCGCCUCAAACUUAUGACCUGACCAUGGAAAAAAUUAUUAAUGAGAGCCAGACUGAAAGUUCCAAUUCCCUUCGCCGCUUCCCAAC
Long non-coding RNA from Nematolebias whitei (Rio pearlfish), 176 nucleotides. RefSeq lists it as uncharacterized. The record is from RefSeq and is a predicted model, not a curated record. The transcript has 3 exons. NCBI's taxonomy places the organism in Eukaryota, Metazoa, Chordata, Actinopteri, Cyprinodontiformes, Rivulidae.